Molecule: ribosomal RNA, 494 nt
Filed under: uncultured bacterium
Lineage: Bacteria
Description: partial 16S ribosomal RNA
Rfam family: Bacterial small subunit ribosomal RNA
Source: RNAcentral
GAACGGGGAUAAGACAUCGGAAGAGCUGCUUGCAGAAUGGAAGAAGUCAUAUUCUAGUGGCGGACGGGUGAGUAACGCGUGGGCAACCUGCCUUAUACAGGGGGAUAACAGCUGGAAACAGCUGCUAAUACCGCAUAAGCGCACAGCGGCGCAUGACGCAGUGUGAAAAACUGAGGUGGUAUAAGAUGGGCCCGCGUCUGAUUAGCUGGUUGGGAGGGUAACGGCCUACCAAGGCGACGAUCAGUAGCCGGCCUGAGAGGGCGGACGGCCACAUUGGGACUGAAACACGGCCCAAGACUCCUACGGGAGGCAGCACCCCCCCCUCCCCCACAAAAGGGGGAACCCUGAUGCAGGGGGGCGGCAAGAAAAAAGAAAUAUUUCCCUACCCCCAACACAAUCAGCAGGGAAGAAAAAAGGAAAAAAAAAAACUCUUAAGCCCCGGCUAAGGGGGAACAAACAGCCGCGGUAAUACGUAGGGGGCAAGCGUUAUCCGG